This is a long non-coding RNA of Mauremys reevesii (Reeves's turtle), 472 nucleotides long. RefSeq lists it as uncharacterized. Lineage: Eukaryota; Metazoa; Chordata; Testudines; Geoemydidae. The transcript has 3 exons. The record is from RefSeq and is a predicted model, not a curated record.
AGAAGAAUCUUGUUAGGUGAGAAGGGUGUUGAGAUAAAGGUAUACUUUGGGGGGCAAGAAGAGAAAUUCAGACAUAUCUCUAGGGAAAAACCAUAUGAAACGUUUUACUGCUAAAUGCAUAACACUUAACACUAAAUAAAGAAGGAGGGUGACCAUGGCUACUGAAGAGAUUCAAAGGCAGUCUGUGCAUUGCUUGUAAAGAACUGACUGAAAAAUAUAUAUACUGUAAGGCAGAUACAGUAUUCUUGCACAAUAAUCCAGCGUUAAUUUCUAUUGUCUUUUGAGUGCCAGAGCCUCCUGAAUACCACAGAAAAAUCGGAAGCAGCUCUAUUGUGUAAGAGCCAGCAUAGCAAGGUGCAACCCCAGGGAGAGCUGUGAUUGAUACUCCUCCACCUCUGUUAGCAGGGGUUCCACACAAAAGAGAGUGUUAGGCUCACCGAUGACCCAUGAUGAAAAAGAAUUCACUUUUUUU